GACAGAGGUGCCGAGCGUUAGGCGGAAUCACUGGGCUUAAAGCGUGUGUAGGCGGACUUCUAAGUACCUUGUGAAAUCCCAUGGCUCAACCAUGGAACUGCUUGGUAUACUGGUUGUCUUGAGCCACUUAGGGGCAGUCGGAACAGAUGGUGGAGCGGUGAAAUGCGUAGAUAUCAUCAAGAAUACCGAUUGCGAAGGCAGUUUACUAAGCUUUAACUGACACUGAGGCACGAAAGUGUGGGGAUCAAACAGG
This 253-nucleotide ribosomal RNA is filed under the name uncultured bacterium. RNAcentral describes it as "partial 16S ribosomal RNA". It matches the Rfam family "Bacterial small subunit ribosomal RNA", at positions 524 to 776 of the family's 1533-position model. The record is from RNAcentral.